This is a long non-coding RNA of Miniopterus natalensis, 133 nucleotides long. RefSeq lists it as uncharacterized. Lineage: Eukaryota; Metazoa; Chordata; Mammalia; Chiroptera; Miniopteridae. The record is from RefSeq and is a predicted model, not a curated record.
UUUACUUUAUUGAAAUCUUGGGCCUGGGUCCCGAGGCGAGCGCGAGAAGGCGCCUGACAGGUUUUCCGGAUCACCGCCUCAUCUCAGCCUCCAUCUAACUCUGAAUACAGCGAAUAUGGGUUAGGUUUCUGAA